RNAcentral lists this ribosomal RNA (255 nucleotides) under Klebsiella pneumoniae. RNAcentral describes it as "partial 23S ribosomal RNA". It matches the Rfam family "Bacterial large subunit ribosomal RNA", at positions 1368 to 1629 of the family's 2925-position model. Lineage: Bacteria; Pseudomonadati; Pseudomonadota; Gammaproteobacteria; Enterobacterales; Enterobacteriaceae. The record is from RNAcentral.
AUCGGGGCAGGGUGAGUCGACCCCUAAGGCGAGGCCGAAAGGCGUAGUCGAUGGGAAACAGGUUAAUAUUCCUGUACUUGGUGUUACUGCGAAGGGGGGACGGAGAAGGCUAUGUUAGCCGGGCGACGGUUGUCCCGGUUUAAGCAUGUAGGCUGGUUGUCCAGGCAAAUCCGGAUAAUCAAGGCUGAGGUGUGAUGACGAGGCACUACGGUGCUGAAGUAACAAAUGCCCUGCUUCCAGGAAAAGCCUCUAAGC